CCUACGGGAGGCAGCAGUGAGGAAUAUUGGUCAAUGGGCGCGAGCCUGAACCAGCCAAGUAGCGUGAAGGAUGACUGCCCUACGGGUUGUAAACUUCUUUUAUAAAGGAAUAAAGUGAGGCACGUGUUCCUUUUUGUAUGUAUUUUAUGAAUAAGGAUCGGCUAACUCAGUGCCAGCAGCCGCGGUAAUACGGAGGAUCCGAGCGUUAUCCGGAUUUAUUGGGUUUAAAGGGAGCGUAGAUGGGUUGUUAAGUCAGUUGUGAAAGUUUGCGGCUUAACCGUAAAAUUGCAAUUGAUACUGGCAGCCUUGAGUACAGUAGAGGUAGGCGGAAUUCGUGGUGUAGCGGUGAAAUGCUUAGAUAUCACGAGGAACUCCGAUUGCGAAGGCAGCCUACUAAACAGCCACUGACAUUGAUGCUCGAAAGUGUGGGUAUCAAACAGGAUUAGAUACCCUAGUAGUC
Molecule: ribosomal RNA, 460 nt
Filed under: uncultured bacterium
Lineage: Bacteria
Description: partial 16S ribosomal RNA
Rfam family: Bacterial small subunit ribosomal RNA
Source: RNAcentral